ACUCAAAGGAAUAGACGGGACCCCGCACAAGCAGCGGAGCAUGUGGUUUAAUUCGACGCAACGCGAAGAACCUUACCAGGUCUUGACAUUGAUCCAACCCUUAGAGAUAAGGGGUGCCCGCAAGGGAGGGAGAAAACAGGUGGUGCAUGGUUGUCGUCAGCUCGUGUCGUGAGAUGUUGGGUUAAGUCCCGCAACGAGCGCAACCCUUGCCGUCAGUUACUAACGGGUAAAGCUGAGGACUCUGACGGGACUGCCGUGGACAACACGGAGGAAGGUGGGGAUGAGGUCAAAUCAUCAUGCCCUUUAUGACCUGGGCUACACACGUGCUACAAUGGCCGUAACAAAGAGAGACGAAGUCGCAAGGCGGAGUGGAUCUCAAAAAGCGGCCUCAGUUCAGAUUGUGGGCUGCAACCCGCCCGCAUGAAGUAGGAGUUGCUAGUAAUCGCGAAUCAGCAUGUCGCGGUGAAUACGUUCCCGGGGUUUGCACACACCGCCCGU
RNAcentral lists this ribosomal RNA (498 nucleotides) under uncultured bacterium. RNAcentral describes it as "bacterial SSU rRNA". It matches the Rfam family "Bacterial small subunit ribosomal RNA", at positions 899 to 1397 of the family's 1533-position model. The record is from RNAcentral.